This is a long non-coding RNA of Equus caballus (horse), 3895 nucleotides long. The record is from Ensembl. NCBI's taxonomy places the organism in Eukaryota, Metazoa, Chordata, Mammalia, Perissodactyla, Equidae.
GGAACCCAGAAGUUUGAGAGAGUGUGUCUAGAGUUCUGAAGGUAGCAGUCAACUUAGAUAUCUACAUCCAGAAAAAAGUAUCUUUCAAGAAUGAGAGCGAAGAAGUCAUUUUCAGGAAAAAUCUAAAAAUAAAAGGAAGAAAUAUGCUACAAUUGGAUCACCUUAAAAGUCAUUCUGAAAGGUAGAUAAACUUCAGGAAGCUAGUCUGACAAAGGAAGGGAUGAUGAGCAGUCCAAGAUGAGACCCAAGGUAUAGUCUGGCCCUUUCUUCAAGCUAGCACUUGAAGUGGCUGCUGGGGAAGAAGAGACAACCUGCAAGCUGUGUAACCUUAUGAGCUCAAACGUCUCUUUCCAACAUGGGAACUGCAGUGUCAGCACUAGAAGCACCGCAUAACAUGGGCCCAUCAGUUCCUGCUCAAUGCAGACAGUAACCAGAGAGUUUCUAUGCUAUCUGCAGGAUACAUCUAUCAUGAGCCCUUUGUAACAAAUGGAGCCGUGAUUCCCUCUGCAGCAAGAUAGCCCCACGUUGCCACAGGGCUCCACAUCAGUAAUUGCUGGAAACUAAAAUGAAACUAACUUGAGUCAAGAAGGGAAUUAUUAGCUUAUAAAGCUUAGCGGUCCAGGAACCAGAGAAACGAUACCAUGAGGAUUCCAUCUCCCUGUCGCCAUCUUGCUCCUCUCUAUUGGCUUUAGUCUCUGGAAAGUCUACUACAAGUAUAUAAAACUUGCCGUAUCUGAGGAAAAUAUUCAAAAGAGAAUUCUAACAAGAAGCAAAAAUGACAGAAAAUGUACAUUGUAAGAUAGCGAGAAAUAACAAGUAAAGAACAAGCGGGAGUGGACCAGUGAGAGAAACCCACUCGAGCCUCCUGAGCUGAAAACAGGACAACAGGACUGGACGCAGAUCUGCCUCCCUGGUCCUCUCUCUGCCCACAGAGUGAUUGGAAUGCAGAACCAAUGGGAGCAGCAUGAAGCACUGUUACAGCACAUCUACAAAGCUACAUGCCAUCGGGAAUUAAAGCAGACUCUUGUGUUUUGUCAGCUUUAGCCAAAUAAUGUGAGCUUGCAGAGCCGUGGCCUCCCAACAGCACAAGGCCCAGAGGAAAUGGCCCAGAACAGAGGCCAACAUCCAUUAAGGGCGUCCACAGGGACAGCCAGAGUGCGUCUCCCCAUCUCCCCAGGCAGAUGGUCACACUGGCGGUUGAGCCAGUGUCUGCCCAGUGGAAGGAGGAAAGACAGAGCACGGUGGUAGCUGCCAAGCGCUGGAAUGAGCAGCAGCCACUGGGGAAUGGACUGAAGCAGAGACUUCAUGCUGCAGGGAAGAAAGUUCAGCUUAGAAGAGAGUACCCUGUGCACUGCUCCUCAGGAUGCUCCUCUUGACUCUCCUCCUCCAUCAGUCUCCUGACCACAGUCCUAUUCUAGUCCUUGGGGUCUUCCCCGCAUGGUGACCUUAAAGCAACGACACCAAAGUCCCCUCUGAUCCCACCAAAGCCACCCUAAUUCCUAAAAUCCCUAGGGCCCCUGUAGGCUCAAACCACACCCUCCACUCACCUGUUUCAAUAUGUCUCCCCAGCUGUACCCAACACUCUCUCCUGGCUCCACUGUUUCUUCACAGCCUGCCAUCCACGCACCAGCAAGCCAAGACAAGAGAUCUCCUCCCUGGACUACACUAAAAUGAUUCUCUGGCUUUUACUCUUGGACAGCUAGCUUCCUGCUCUCCUUUUUGCUGCCUGCCCACUCCAGAAGGCUGCCUGCCAGCCUUCUAGAUAUCUGACUCAGCCACUGGCUCAGCUCAGAUCAGCCUUGCUGUUCAUCCACCCCUAGUCCCAGCUUGAGGUGGGCUAGACAUUUGAUUCAAGAACCCCUUUGAUUUCGAUAUCUCUGUAGCCUCAAGGAAGAUACUCAAGCACCAGAACCCUGCUGAGCACUAGAGGAGCCUCCCUGGGGCAGUCAUCCCAGCUUCCUUCCUGAGAAGGGGGAUUCAGACAGUCCUGAUAACUCCUUUCCCUCUGCACUACUGUCCACGCUAUUCCUGUGCCUAAAACAACAUUGACAGGUCUCUGUGCUCUGUCACCAGUACUGCAACACCAAAGAAGUACCUCAGCCAGGCACCCAGCUUCUGAUCCCAGGGAGCAUUCUAUUCUCUCUCACUUGAUCACGUCCACCUCACAUGAGGGCCUGCCAUACUGCUGCAGGUUUGUGUGCAUCCCACUUCCUCUACCCAAAAGCACAAUCAUUAUGGCACACACCGUCCCCACCUUUAUGUGUCCUUCAAAAUCGAGUAAAAUACCUUGGUAGGUACCUUGGGCCUGAGUAAAUUUUACUGAGUUGAGUCAUGACCCAUUUGAUGUAUGUUGGAGAGAAACAAUAUGGGACAGCUCUGCAGGCCACUGGGUGGUGCCCCUUCCUCUGGGAAACCCAACCCCUCCCUCCAGUGCUUCAUUUGAGGUCGUGGUAAAAAUUAGUUUCCAAACCAAACCACAGGUCGGUCUCCACUCCUUCUGUGAUGACGCAGGUGUGGUGCAAACCACACCAACUCAGUGCUCCUCACAUAUCCCUUUGUGUGUUUCUGCCUUUGAUUUAUGCAAAUGAAUUUUGCUCCCCAAAUACAAGUUCCUCACCAGGAAGGCCCUAACGUUGAUUACUAUAUUUAUAUUUUAUCAAUAUUUGGGAUUCAAUUUUUGAUAUAUGUUUUCAAGGCAUCUCUAUCUGAAUGAGCCAUCGCAGAAGCAACAGAACUCUGCCUGAAAGCAAAAGGGCCAGCAGGAAAAAAGGAAAAGUCAUCUGUGUCUAGUGUUUUCUGUGUGUCAGGCACUCAGUGCUCCAGACUAUUAAUCCAUUUCAUUUCCAGUCAACUUCAUGGAGUAGCUGUAAUUAUCAUCCCCAAUUUGCAAAUGAGGAAACUAAGACAGGGAGAGCUUAAAUAACUUCACACAAAGUCAAGUCAGCACCCACAUUCUCAGCCACUUUCGACUGUUUACUGCCCAAGUUAUCAGCUGUGUUCUGGGCUCUGAGCUGGCACAGCAAGGAUGGGGUGCCAGGAGGGCUCCUCUCUGCCUCUCCAAGGAAUCCUAACUUCCCCAGGAAGUGAGGAGUGGAAGGUUCUGCAUCUCUAACUUUCUCUUCUACCUGUGUAGGGAAUUUUUAACCUCCUUGUUAGUGAUCAGCCAGGGAAAGAUGUAAAAUGCUGCUCAUUGUGCUUGCUGAACUCAAGGUACCAAAGGGUGACUCAGCAAAGCUGAGAGUCAAGAGCCAUUUCUUUCCUGGUUACUUAGAAUCCUAUGUGCAAACUAUAGAGUCUCAUGAAAAACUAAGCCUCUUUCUAACAGCCAGCUCUAGCUUGCCAGCCAUGUGAGUGGCUUCCUUGGGAGUUGAUGCCCUAGCCUCAGUCAAGCCUUUAGAUGAUCCAUCCUCAAAUAACAGCCUGACUGAAACCCCAUGGGAGUUCCUGAGCUGGAAGCACCCAGCCAAGCCCCACCUGGAUCCUGACCCCGAGAAACUGUGUGAGUUAAAUGUUUGCUGUUUAAGCUGCUAAAUUUGAGGAUAAUUUGUUAGACUAAAGUCAAUAACUAGUAAGAUUAUGCAUUUGCAUAUAUUAUCUCUUGUAUUAGGUUUUAGAUUCCUUGAAACGAUGAUUCAGUAUAUCAUGUUGUAUCUAGCACAGUGCCUAAAACCUGAUUAAGUCCUCCAGAAAUGUUCUUUGCACACAUGAAUAAAUGAAUGAAUUUCUUAUCAACAUCAGGGCUAAUUUUAUUUGUCACACUUUUAUUAAGAAUCUAAUGGGGGACAGCCCGGUGGUGGAGUGGUUAAGUUCACACGUUCGGCUUCUCGGUGGCCCGGGGUUCGCCAGUUUGGAUCCCAGGUGCGGACAUGGCAUUACUUGGCAAAAAGCCCUGCUG